GGUGGCGGUUUUUCCCGCGGCGGCGACCGUUGCUCCAGGCGACUGUUCGAGGGCGGAGGUGUUUGUGCGCCGGCGGCUCCCUGGGACUCAGAGUCGGCCGUCUCCCUUUUACGGCGGCUCGUGUUGUGGUUUCGAGUGUGGUUUCCCUUGGGCUGUGCUCUUUGGCGUGCCUCUCCGCUCGGCCCGGGUUAACGGACGCGACUCUGACUCUCCUCAGCCGGCAACCGAGGCCGCGACGCCAGAAUGGCGGACGUCUGCGAUCUACGUCGAGGGCGGGAUUCGCGUCUGAAGUGCGCUCGGCCGCAUCCUUUCCUCGUCGGCCUUUCCAGCGCCUCGACCUGCUGUGGAAGUGAACGAGGACGCCUUGAAAGGGUCUAGACCCCGCUAAAGCGAGGGAGUCCGCCACCAUCCUGGGCCUUUGGCGGAGGCUCGAAGGCAGGCACGGAAAGCUUUUCAGCGACAAGCAGGAGAGGCCUCGGGUGCGCCUUGGAUGCACUUUGGCGAGUGUGGAAGUUGGAGACGGGCUAACUAAGCGGGUCAUCCUGUCUGGGAUGGCUUAGGGAGUAUAUUUGGCUUUCUCCGGUUGGCCCGAAGUGGGCCAGGGACAAAAAAAAAAUAGCAUUGUCUGCACAUAAUGUGUAGAACCGUACUGCCGUGCCAUCACCUUGAAGAGGCCAGCCCGAGGGGCAAAGUCGACAUGCUGAGAAUGGCAGAGCAGAAAGAUGGAAAGAACCAGAGUCACCGAAUCAACUAAUACUGCCUGUGGCCAUCUUGGGACUUUCCCUUAUGAUACCAUAAACGACCUUGUUUAUUUUUAUGAUGGAAAACUUCAAACAUACAAGAGUAAGCCAGAGCAAGAGAACGUGUAUACAUGCCAGAGAGGGACAGAGAGAGAGGGAGAGAGAAUCCCAAGCAGGAGCCGCACUACCAGCACAGAGCCCAACUCGGGGCUUGAACCCAUGAACCGCGAGAUCAGGACCUGAGCCAAGGUCGAGAGUUGGACCCUCAACUGACCGCACCACUGAGGCACCCUGGUGGUCUCCCUGGUUGUCCUUUGGUCUUGAGAACGUCAUCACUCAGUGCUGCUUUUCAUAUUCAGUUCCAAAUGCCAACCAACCAAGCCCGUUCGUGUUACAUUGCAGGAUCAGGCUGAAAAGGCCAUGUCUCUUCAACCGGCUCAGCUUGAGGGCUAUGAGGUACCGUCACGCGACCUGGGGAGACUACGGAAAGAAGUGAAGUAGCAAAGAGGGGAACACCGAGCUUGGCGUCAGGGAUGGGGCAAGAACAGGGAGCACUCUCCCAGCUCUCUGACUCCUCAUAUGCCUUCAAGGUGGGCGGUAACCCUAUUGCAAUAUGUCGAGGAUAUCUUGUUGGCGGCCCCCUCUCAUUUAGAAUGCCUGAGUGCCACCAGAGAACCCUUGAGUCUUCUGCAAAAACUGGGGUACCGAGUGUCAGCCAGAAAAGCGCAGAUCUGUCAUACUGCAGUGACCUAUUUAAGUUACAACCUUAAAAAGGGAAGUGCUAUCUUGGUGAACAAAGAAUUCGGGCUAUACUCGAUAUUCCUCAGCCUAAAACUCGCAAACAAGUUCGCGAGUUCUGAGGGCAGCAGGCUACUGCAGAGUAUGGAUACCUGGUUUUGCUGAACUGGCAGCCCCUUUGUACGCCACUCUCAAGGGGUCUCCGGAGUCCUUCACGUGGGGGGAGACUCAAACUAAAGCCUUCCAAGCCUUAUGAGAGGCUCUCAUGACCCCACCGGCCUCGGCCCUGCCAGAUCCCACCAAGCCAUUCCAUUUGUUUGUAGCCCAAAAGGGGAGGGUAGCCGAGGGAGUUCUGACUCAGCGCCUGGGACCUUGGCGCCGACCGGUGGCCUAUUUAUCCAUGUGGCUGGACCCAGUUGCUUCCGGGUGGCCCCCACGCAUUCGACAAAUUGCCACCACCGUGCUCUUAGUUGAAGAUGCAGACAAACUGACCUUGAGGCAGGCACUGUCUGUCACCAGGCCCCACGAAGUGGAGGCUUUACUGCGGGCUCCCCCAGAGCGACGGCUGUCAAAUGCUUGGAUUACCCAAUAUCAAGCGUUGCUACUUGACCAGACCCGAAUACGUUUUUGUGCCCCCGCAGCCUUAAACCCAGCCACUCUGCUGCCCAAAGGACAAGGUCCCCCUCUGCACUCCUGCCCAGAAACCUUGGCGACGAUCUCGUCCCUCCGCUCCACUCUUACGGACAUUCCCUUACAGGACCCUGAUAUCAGCAUGUUUUCAGGCGGCAGUAGUUUUGUGUUUCAAGGGCAAAGGCACGCCGGCGCUGCAGUGACGACGGACCGCGAGGUUUUAUGGCAACAGACCCUUCCCCCGGGAACUUCAGCCCAGCACGCAGAGCUCAUCACUCUAACAAAAGCCCUCCAACUCGGAAGAAACAAGCAGUUCAUAUUUAUACAGACAGCCGCUAUGCUUUUGCAACCGCGCGUGUAUACGGAUCCAUUUAUCAAGAGCGCGGUCUCCUCACGGCGGAAGGCAAGGCCAUCAAAACUAAAGCUGAAAUUUUAGAUCUUCUAGCAGCCAUCUGGGAACCUGCGAGGCGGGCAAUCAUUCACUGCCCGGGACAUCAGAAAGGCGACUCCCUGGAAGCAGUCGGAAACCGCCUGGCUGAUGCAGCAGCCCAAGAAGCUGACCCAACUAAAAGUAAAAGUGCCUUGGAGCUACCGAUCUUGACCGAGGGAGCCCAGUUACACUCCUAAAGAUUUGGAGUGGGUUUCAAGAAAAGGGGGAAGUGUGAUGCCGGGACAAAAGUGGUCUCAGGAUCCUGAAGGAGAUUUAGUCUGGGUCAAGAGGCACGAGCUUAAAACCCUGGAGCCGCUCUGGAAAGGACCACACGCCGUGAUCCUGACUACACCCACGGCCGUGAAGGUAGAUGGUGUCCGAAUCUGGAUUCAUCACUCUCAGGUUAAAAAAAAAAAAACUGUGUGAAGGCAGGAACACCCCAGACUGAUACGGAACCAGAUAAUGAACAGCAAUGGAAGGUCCGAAGGCACUCAGAGGAUCCUUUAAAGGCAAUGCUCUCCUGCUCAGCACAUCCUUCCUGUCCCCUUCUGAGUUCCACUCCACACCCGGUGUCGGCUACAAGCAACUUGCCUCCAGGAGCCCCACCAGCACCCUUGGGUUCUUCUCAACCCCAUCAUUGUCAAACGCGUAUUCAUUUCUCAAAUUCCCAUCAUUCUUACUGGGUCUAAGGCUUGUUGAGCUCAUGCAUCUAUGAAUCCUGUCUUGGUCACCACUUUAUCCACAAUUCCCACUCUGGGAGGGGUGCCUGGCUGGCUCAGCUGGUAGAGCAUGCAACUCUUGAUCUUGGGGUUUUAAAUUUGAGCCUCAAGUUGUGUGUGGAGAUUACUUAAAAAAAUUAAGUUUUGGGGUGCCUGGGUGGCUCAGUCAGUUAACUGUCCAACUUCGGCUCAGGUCAUGAUCUCACAGUUCAUGGG
This is a long non-coding RNA of Leopardus geoffroyi (Geoffroy's cat), 3473 nucleotides long. RefSeq lists it as uncharacterized. Lineage: Eukaryota; Metazoa; Chordata; Mammalia; Carnivora; Felidae. The transcript is spliced from 8 exons. The record is from RefSeq and is a predicted model, not a curated record.